UACGUAGGGUGCGAGCGUUGUUCGGAAUUACUGGGCGUAAAGCGCGUGUAGGUGGCUCGCUAAGUCUGGUGUGAAAUCCCUGGGCUCAACCCAGGAAUUGCAUCGGAAACUGGCAGGCUCGAGUCCGGGAGAGGGUAGCGGAAUUCCUGGUGUAGAGGUGAAAUUCGUAGAUAUCAGGAGGAACACCGGUGGCGAAGGCGGCUACCUGGACCGGUACUGACACUGAGACGCGAAAGCGUGGGGAGCAAACAGG
RNAcentral lists this ribosomal RNA (253 nucleotides) under uncultured bacterium. RNAcentral describes it as "partial 16S ribosomal RNA". It matches the Rfam family "Bacterial small subunit ribosomal RNA", at positions 524 to 776 of the family's 1533-position model. The record is from RNAcentral.